CUACGGGCCGCUGCAGUAGGGAAUAUUGGACAAUGGGCGAAAGCCUGAUCCAGCAACGCCGCGUGUGCGAUGACGGCCUUCGGGUUGUAAAGCACUUUUAGAGGAGAUGAGAAAGGACAGUAUCCUCAGAAUAAGCCUCGGCGAACUACGUGCCAGCAGCCGCGGUAAAACGUAGGAGGCAAGCGUUAUCCGGAUUUAUUGGGCGUAAAGCGCGUGCAGGCGGUCUAGCAAGUUGGAUGUGAAAGCUACCGGCUUAACCGGGAGAGGUCGUUCAAUACUGUUAGACUAGAGAAUGGGAGAGGGAGGUGGAAUUCUGGGUGUAGUGGUGAAAUGCGUAGAUAUCCAGAGGAACACCAGUGGCGAAAGCGGCCUCCUGGACCAUUUCUGACGCUAAGACGCGAAAGCUAGGGUAGCAAACGGGAUUAGAUACCCGUGUAGUC
This 440-nucleotide ribosomal RNA is filed under the name uncultured bacterium. RNAcentral's name for it is "partial 16S ribosomal RNA". It matches the Rfam family "Bacterial small subunit ribosomal RNA", at positions 339 to 795 of the family's 1533-position model. The record is from RNAcentral.